Molecule: long non-coding RNA, 1264 nt
Filed under: Gallus gallus (chicken)
Lineage: Eukaryota; Metazoa; Chordata; Aves; Galliformes; Phasianidae
Description: long non-coding RNA NONGGAT002233
Source: RNAcentral
AACUUGUUGAGGGACAGAAACUGCUCUGGAGAAGUCAACAAGAGCGCGUGCGGUGCGGCAGACAAGAAGAUAAUUUUGGGCUGCAUAUUUGGAAGCACCACAUCACAAGCAAAUGAAAAUGCAUCAUCACAACACCGAAUUAAGAGUGAAGGAAAACACUGUCGGUAAGAUGCUGGAUAGACUGAAGAUAUUCAAGGUUGACGGACCAGAGCCUCUUGCAUCCAUACCUGUGACAGAUGAAAAAGGAGCUGCAUUCAGUCAAAAGGCUCAAGCAAGAGCAACAUCGGCUUCUCUUCUGGUCUUACAUCCUGUGCACACACCUGGCAGAGUUCUGCAAACUUGACAAGCAGUAGAGAAACCUGAGAAUGUUGUGAGAGACAAAGCAUGCAAUUUGGAACUGUACACUGGAUUCCUCUUGUUUGGCUACCUCCUCUGAAACCAGGGAAUGGCUUUCCAGGAGACUUCGAUGACAGAGGAGGACAGGCUUGUCACGGACACACCAGAGGGGGCUACGACACCAACUUUGACUUCAUAUGGUGAAAACGGCAGGAUGCUUUCGUUCCUGAAGACGUAUCUGGGUGUGUCAGGAGAGGUGACUACAGUCUGUAUCCAUGUUGUGGUGCCAAAGGGGCGAAAAGCGACGACAUAUCCAAACCCUUCUCCAUUCUGUAACUCCUCGGGGAUGGGCUGUGAGAAAAGCAAUCAGUGACUGAAGCCUGUGAUGUUACGUACUGCACUGGAAAAGCUUUGAAGGAGCAAAGCAUCACUGUGAAUGUAUUGCAUGCAGCUGAAACUUGUUCUGGUCUGCAUUUGGGAUCACUGCAUCAACAAAUAAACUCUGGUACAGUAGAGUGAAAUGCUUUCAUUUGAAACUAUCUGCACAUCAAAAACAGAGCAACUCCCACAUACAUUUCUUGCUCUCCAUCUAACAGUAGCAAGUGGAACAGGGAAGGCAAAUGUGCAUAGCUCACAUUACAGAAUGUUACCGAGCACAUAUACACCCUAGAUAAGAAGCUGCUGCAGCCAGGAAAAUUCAUCUUUAAAGAAGCGUUUCAAUGAAAACAACCAUUCUCUGAAGAAAAUUGCUUGCCAGAAAACUUACAUCCCAUGUUAUGACCAGUUCAGACCUGCUGCCGCCUCCCCCACUGACUUCAGCUGGGGGAAUUUCAGGAACUGUGAAAAAAAAAACAUACAGCUGUCUACGCCGUGUAAACAGAUGAGAUGGUAUCACAAGUUAACCUCAUUCUCUGGAGCUAACUCUCUC